GACGAACGCUGGCGGCGUGCUUAACACAUGCAAGUCGAACGAGUGGCGAACGGGUGAGUAAUACGUGGGUAACCGGCCCUCUAUUUGGGAUAAGCCUUGGAACCGGGGUCUAAUCCCCGCAAAGGAGGGAUGGGCUCGCGGCCUGUCAGCUUGUUGGUGGGGUGAUUGCCUAACCAGGCGGUGACGGGUAGCCGGCCUGAGAGGGUGACCGGCGACAGUGGGACGGAGAGACGUCCUAGACUCCUACGCGAGGCGGCAUUGGGGGAUAUGGGACAAUGGGUGAAAGCGCGAUGCAGCGACGCUGCGGGGGGGAUGAAGGCUUUCGGGUUCUAAACGUCGUGCGCUAUCGAUUGGGUAGGUGGAGAAGAAGCGCCGGCUAACUACGUGCCAGCAGCCGCGGUAAUUC
Molecule: ribosomal RNA, 406 nt
Filed under: uncultured bacterium
Lineage: Bacteria
Description: partial 16S ribosomal RNA
Rfam family: Bacterial small subunit ribosomal RNA
Source: RNAcentral